RNAcentral lists this ribosomal RNA (253 nucleotides) under uncultured bacterium. RNAcentral describes it as "partial 16S ribosomal RNA". It matches the Rfam family "Bacterial small subunit ribosomal RNA", at positions 524 to 776 of the family's 1533-position model. The record is from RNAcentral.
UACGUAGGGUGCAAGCGUUGUCCGGAAUUAUUGGGCGUAAAGAGCUCGUAGGCGGUUUGUCGCGUCUGCUGUGAAAACUCGGGGCUCAACCCCGAGCCUGCAGUCGAUACGGGCAGACUAGAGUGCUGUAGGGGAGACUGGAAUUCCUGGUGUAGCGGUGAAAUGCGCAGAUAUCAGGAGGAACACCAAUGGCGAAGGCAGAUCUCUGGGCCGUAACUGACGCUGAGGAGCGAAAGCAUGGGGAGCGAACAGG